GGGUUGUGAGGUUAAGCGACUAAGCGUACACGGUGGAUGCCCUGGCAGUCAGAGGCGAUGAAGGACGUGCUAAUCUGCGAUAAGCGCCGGUAAGGUGAUAUGAACCGUUAUAACCGGCGAUUUCCGAAUGGGGAAACCCAGUGUGACUCGUCACACUAUCAUUAACUGAAUCCAUAGGUUAAUGAGGCGAACCGGGGGAACUGAAACAUCUAAGUACCCCGAGGAAAAGAAAUCAACCGAGAUUCCCCCAGUAGCGGCGAGCGAACGGGGAGGAGCCCAGAGCCUGAAUCAGCAUGUGUGUUAGUGGAAGCGUCUGGAAAGGCGCGCGAUACAGGGUGACAGCCCCGUACACAAAAGCGCAUGUGCUGUGAGCUCGAUGAGUAGGGCGGGACACGUGGUAUCCUGUCUGAAUAUGGGGGGACCAUCCUCCAAGGCUAAAUACUCCUGACUGACCGAUAGUGAACCAGUACCGUGAGGGAAAGGCGAAAAGAACCCCGGCGAGGGGAGUGAAAAAGAACCUGAAACCGUGUACGUACAAGCAGUGGGAGCCCCACCACCAAAGCAUUCUCUGGUGUUGAAGGCCCUGCAAAGCAGCAUCGCGGUGGCGGAGCGUCGUUUGCGACGCCCAACACACAAAACAAGCGGUGAGUGCUUUGGGGUGGGGUGACUGCGUACCUUUUGUAUAAUGGGUCAGCGACUUAUAUUCUGUAGCAAGGUUAACCGUAUAGGGGAGCCGUAGGGAAACCGAGUCUUAACCGGGCGUUAAGUUGCAGGGUAUAGACCCGAAACCCGGUGAUCUAGCCAUGGGCAGGUUGAAGGUUGGGUAACACUAACUGGAGGACCGAACCGACUAAUGUUGAAAAAUUAGCGGAUGACCUGUGGCUGGGGGUGAAAGGCCAAUCAAACCGGGAGAUAGCUGGUUCUCCCCGAAAGCUAUUUAGGUAGCGCCUCGUGAACUCAUCUCCGGGGGUAGAGCACUGUUUCGGCUAGGGGGCCAUCCCGGCUUACCAACCCGAUGCAAACUGCGAAUACCGAAGAAUGUUAUCACGGGAGACACACGGCGGGUGCUAACGUCCGUCGUGAAGAGGGAAACAACCCAGACCGCCAGCUAAGGUCCCAAAGUCACAGUUAAGUGGGAAACGAUGUGGGAAGGCUCAGACAGCCAGGAUGUUGGCUUAGAAGCAGCCAUCAUUUAAAGAAAGCGUAAUAGCUCACUGGUCGAGUCGGCCUGCGCGGAAGAUGUAACGGGGCUAAACUGUGCACCGAAGCUGCGGCAGCGACGCUUAUGCGUUGUUGGGUAGGGGAGCGUUCUGUAAGCCUGCGAAGGUGUCCUGUGAGGGAUGCUGGAGGUAUCAGAAGUGCGAAUGCUGACAUAAGUAACGAUAAUGCGGGUGAAAAGCCCGCUCGCCGGAAGACCAAGGGUUCCUGUCCAACGUUAAUCGGGGCAGGGUGAGUCGACCCCUAAGGCGAGGCCGAAAGGCGUAGUCGAUGGGAAACGGGUUAAUAUUCCCGUA
Molecule: ribosomal RNA, 1514 nt
Filed under: Salmonella enterica
Lineage: Bacteria; Pseudomonadati; Pseudomonadota; Gammaproteobacteria; Enterobacterales; Enterobacteriaceae
Description: bacterial LSU rRNA
Rfam family: Bacterial large subunit ribosomal RNA
Source: RNAcentral